UGAAACACGGACCAAGGAGUCUAACAUGUGCGCGAGUCAUUGGGUGUUAAACCUAAAGGCGAAAUGAAAGUGAAGGUCGACUUGAUCGGCUGAUAUGGGAUCCGUUCGGUUUCGGCCGGACGGCGCACCAUAGCCCCAUCUUGACCGCUUGCGGUAGGGUGGCGGCAGACGUACACGUUGGGACCCGAAAGAUGGUGAACUAUGCCUGAGCAGGACGAAGCCAGAGGAAACUCUGGUGGAGGUCCGAAGCGGUUCUGACGUGCAAAUCGAUCGUCAGACUUGGGUAUAGGGGCGAAAGACUAAUCGAACCAUCUAGUAGCUGGUUCCCUCUGAAGUUUCCCCCAGGAUAGCUGGAGCUCGUAAGAGCAGUUGUAUCCGGUAAAGCGAAUGAUUAGAGGCCUUGGGGACGAAACGACC
This 417-nucleotide ribosomal RNA is filed under the name Anaplectus granulosus. RNAcentral describes it as "eukaryotic LSU rRNA". It matches the Rfam family "Eukaryotic large subunit ribosomal RNA", at positions 655 to 1046 of the family's 3401-position model. The record is from RNAcentral. Lineage: Eukaryota; Metazoa; Nematoda; Chromadorea; Plectida; Plectidae.